UACGGAGGGUGCAAGCGUUGCUCGGAAUCAUUGGGCGUAAAGCGCGCGUAGGCGGCGCGUUAAGUCGGGUGUGAAAGCCCUGGGCUCAACCCAGGAAGUGCAUUCGAAACUGGCGCGCUUGAAUAUGGAAGAGGGUCGCGGAAUUCCCGGUGUAGAGGUGAAAUUCGUAGAUAUCGGGAGGAACACCUGCGGCGAAGGCGGGUUGCUGGGCCGACACUGACGCUGAUGCGCGAAAGCUAGGGGAGCAAACGGG
RNAcentral lists this ribosomal RNA (253 nucleotides) under uncultured bacterium. Its description in RNAcentral is "partial 16S ribosomal RNA". It matches the Rfam family "Bacterial small subunit ribosomal RNA", at positions 524 to 776 of the family's 1533-position model. The record is from RNAcentral.